Molecule: long non-coding RNA, 300 nt
Filed under: Salvia miltiorrhiza (redroot sage)
Lineage: Eukaryota; Viridiplantae; Streptophyta; Magnoliopsida; Lamiales; Lamiaceae
Description: long non-coding RNA (SMIL_LNC001232)
Source: RNAcentral
GCGCAAUAUGUUCCAGUUCGACCUCACACACUUCAUCGAUGUCCUCUUCACUCUCAAUCGCUGCAUCGUCAUUUAUUCCUUUUCCUCUCUGUGAGUUCUGGCUAAUCACUCUCAUAUCUCCAGUCAUCGGCGUAGAUCUGGGUGGCAUAGGGACUCUCGUGUUAGUGACAACGGGGUUCUUCCUCGGCCGACCUCGUUUGGCCGCGCCGUACAUCAUAAGGCGCACGUUAAUACUCAGCUACUAACUUGCGCCGAAAGGACGUUCUCGAUGUAUGUAUUUUUUAUAAUAAUUACUUGACC